AGUGAACGCUGGCGGUACGCCUAACACAUGCAAGUCGAACGGCAGCACAGUAAGAGCUUGCUCUUACGGGUGGCGAGUGGCGGACGGGUGAGGAAUACAUCGGAAUCUACUUUUUCGUGGGGGAUAACGUAGGGAAACUUACGCUAAUACCGCAUACGACCUACGGGUGAAAGCAGGGGAUCUUCGGACCUUGCGCGAUUGAAUGAGCCGAUGUCGGAUUAGCUAGUUGGCGGGGUAAGGGCCCACCAAGGCGACGAUCCGUAGCUGGUCUGAGAGGAUGAUCAGCCACACUAGAACUGAGGCACGGUCCAGACUCCUACGGGAGGCAGCAGUGGGGAAUAUUGGACAAUGGGCGCAAGCCUGAUCCAGCCAUACCGCGUGGGUGAAGAAGGCCUUCGGGUUGUAAAGCCCUUUUGUUGGGAAAGAAAAGCAGCAGGUUAAUACCCCGCUGUUCUGACGGUACCCAAAGAAUAAGCACCGGCUAACUUCGUG
This 492-nucleotide ribosomal RNA is filed under the name uncultured bacterium. RNAcentral's name for it is "partial 16S ribosomal RNA". It matches the Rfam family "Bacterial small subunit ribosomal RNA", at positions 29 to 507 of the family's 1533-position model. The record is from RNAcentral.